GGGCGAUUAGCUCAGUUGGCUAGAGCACUUGCUCGACAAGCAAGGGGUCACAGGUUCGAGUCCUGUAUCGCCCA
This 74-nucleotide transfer RNA is filed under the name Candidatus Scalindua sp. RNAcentral's name for it is "tRNA-Val". It matches the Rfam family "tRNA". From Rfam's summary of the family: Transfer RNA (tRNA) molecules are approximately 80 nucleotides in length. Their secondary structure includes four short double-helical elements and three loops (D, anti-codon, and T loops). Lineage: Bacteria; Pseudomonadati; Planctomycetota; Candidatus Brocadiia; Candidatus Brocadiales; Candidatus Scalinduaceae. RNAcentral also lists the same sequence under 1 other name. The record is from RNAcentral.